This 465-nucleotide ribosomal RNA is filed under the name uncultured Klebsiella sp. RNAcentral describes it as "bacterial SSU rRNA". It matches the Rfam family "Bacterial small subunit ribosomal RNA", at positions 338 to 795 of the family's 1533-position model. The record is from RNAcentral. Lineage: Bacteria; Pseudomonadati; Pseudomonadota; Gammaproteobacteria; Enterobacterales; Enterobacteriaceae.
CCUACGGGUGGCAGCAGUGGGGAAUAUUGCACAAUGGGCGCAAGCCUGAUGCAGCCAUGCCGCGUGUGUGAAGAAGGCCUUCGGGUUGUAAAGCACUUUCAGCGGGGAGGAAGGCGGUGAGGUUAAUAACCUCAUCGAUUGACGUUACCCGCAGAAGAAGCACCGGCUAACUCCGUGCCAGCAGCCGCGGUAAUACGGAGGGUGCAAGCGUUAAUCGGAAUUACUGGGCGUAAAGCGCACGCAGGCGGUCUGUCAAGUCGGAUGUGAAAUCCCCGGGCUCAACCUGGGAACUGCAUUCGAAACUGGCAGGCUAGAGUCUUGUAGAGGGGGGUAGAAUGCCAGGUGUAGCGGUGAAAUGCGUAGAGAUCUGGAGGAAUACCGGUGGCGAAGGCGGCCCCCUGGACAAAGACUGACGCUCAGGUGCGAAGGCGUGGGGAGCAAACAGGAUUAGAUACCCGUGUAGUC